UAUUAACUAAUAGAAGUAUUUAGAAAAAUUGUUGUAAGAUAGUAAUGUUUGUGAAUUUAUAUAGUAAUUUACUGUGAAGGAAGAAAUGAAUUAGAAGAAGAAAUAAGUUAUCCCUUUAGUAUCAGGGUUUUAUGAUUUUUUGCAGAGGAUUCUGUAAUCUCGAAAUUGAGUGAUCUAUUAUUCUAUAUUGUGAAUUGUUGUAAAAAUUUAUUUAAUGGGGUAAAUAGUGGUGAGAUGCGUAAUCGCACUUUAUAUAUCUAGUUCCCUUUUAGGAGAGUAAUCUUAAAAAUUAGUAAUUUAAAAGAUUUUUGUAGAUAAGUACAAAAUAAUUUUACUAUCGGUUGUAAAUAUAAUAUUAGGUUUAGUAGUGGCUGAGGUGUUUAAUAACGAGUUUUGUUGGUAGAGAUAAAAAUUUUUGAAUGGAAGUGUUUUGAAUUUUUGAAAUUUAUUUUAAUGUAGAAAUGAGUAGAAAAGAGAUAGGAAAGUUAUGUAAAAUGGAAAGAGUGAUUUUAGCAAAGUCCGAUGAAGGAACUAGGCAAAAAUUUUAUCCGCCUGUUUAUCAAAAACAUGGUUUUUUGGUGAUUAUAAAAAAUUUGGUCUGCUCACUGCUAUUAGUAAAUACCCGCAGUAUUUUGACUGUGCAAAGGUAGCAUAAUCAUUUGCCUUUUAAUUAAAGGCUGGCAUGAAUGAUUUAACGAGAUAAAAUCUGUCUUCAACGGAGUGUUUGAAUUUGAUUAAUUGGUAAAAAGGCCAUUAUGAGUAUGGGGGACGAUAAGACCCUAUUAAGCUUGAUUUUUGAAUUUUACUGGGGCGGUAAAUUAAGAUUAUGAUCUUAAUGAGGGAGGAUAAAAUGUAAGACCCAAUAUUAUCGAGUGACGGAUAAAGUUACUAUAGGGAUAACAGCUUAAUUUUUUUAAAAAGUUCUUAUUUUAAGAAAAGUUUGUGACCUCGAUGUUGAAUUAAGGAUUCUUUUUGGUGAAGGAGCUAAGGAAGAAAGUCUGUUCGACUUUUAAAUCUUUACGUGAUUUGAGUUCAGAUCGGCGAAAGCCAGAUCGGUUUCUAUCCUCAUAUAGAGUAUUUAUCUCUUAGUACGAAAGGACCAGGGAUUAAUUUUUAAAAUAUUAAUUUUUUUAGAAAUUUAG
RNAcentral lists this ribosomal RNA (1142 nucleotides) under Liphistius erawan. RNAcentral describes it as "16S ribosomal RNA". The stretch from base 764 to 1067 matches the Rfam family "Bacterial large subunit ribosomal RNA", at positions 2075 to 2645 of the family's 2925-position model. Lineage: Eukaryota; Metazoa; Arthropoda; Arachnida; Araneae; Liphistiidae. The record is from RNAcentral.